UAGCUGGUUCUCGCCGAAACAUAUUGAGGUAUGGGGUCAGUCGAUUUGCAUGGGGGGUAGAGCACUGGAUGGGCUAGGGGGACCACAAUCUUACCGAACCCAACCAAACUCCGAAUACCCAUGACAACAGGCUGGCACUCAGGCUACGGGAGCUAAGUUUCGUGGCCGAGAGGGAAAGAACCCAGACCGACAGCUAAGGUCCCCAAGUCAUUGCUCAGUGGAGAAGGAUGUGGGAGCACACAGACAGCCAGGAGGUUGGCUUAGAAGCAGCCAUCCUUUAAAGAAAGCGUAGCAGCUCACUGGUCGAGUGAACCUGCGCCCAAAAUUCAACGGGUCUAAGCAAUGCACCGAAGCUUCGGGUCUAGUCGAGAGACUAGGCGGUAGGCGAGUACUGUCUGUGCGGAGAAGCCGUACGGUAACGAGCGGUGGAGCGCAGACAGGAGCUGAUGUUGGCAUGAGUAGCGAUAAACAGGGUGAAAAUCCCUGUCGCCGUAAACCCAAGGGUUCCUGGGUAAAGACAAUCUUCUCAGGGUUAGUCGGCCCCUAAGGCGAGGCAGA
This 558-nucleotide ribosomal RNA is filed under the name Candidatus Woesebacteria bacterium. RNAcentral's name for it is "partial 23S ribosomal RNA". It matches the Rfam family "Bacterial large subunit ribosomal RNA", at positions 846 to 1405 of the family's 2925-position model. Lineage: Bacteria; Candidatus Woeseibacteriota. The record is from RNAcentral.